CCUGCCCCUCCCCCGCUCCCUCCUUCCCCCACCUCUUGCCCCACCCUGCUGGGGUCCUGCCCCUCCCCCGCUCCCUCCUUCCCCCACCUCUUGCCCCACCCUGCUGGGGUCCUGCCCCUCCCCCGCUCCCUCCUUCCCCCACCUCUUGCCCCGCCCUGCUGGGGUCCUGCCCCUCCUCCACUCCCUCCCUGCCGCCCGAUCAGCUGAUGGCCCAGGACGGGGAGAAGCCAGCCGCAGCGCGCUCUCUGCUUCCGGGACCUUGGGGAAGCGGGUGGAAUCAGGGCAUAUCCCCUCCAGCCCCAUGCUGUGAGCUGCUCUGGGCAGGGGGCUUGGAGCACCCCACGACCCUAGCCCUCACCCCCAGCCCUCUACCCUGACCCCUGCACCCCCCAAACUACCAGCCCUCUGCCCUGACCCCUACAACCCCCAAGCACACCCAGCCAUCUGCCCUGACCCCUGCACCCUCCUCACACACCCUCCCAGCCAUCUGCCCUGACCUCUUCACCCCUCCACACCCUCCCAGGCCUCUGCCCUGACCCCUUCACCCCCUCACAUCCCCAGCCCUGACUCCAGCACCCCCACACAUACCCAGCCCCCCCACACCCCAUGCCCUGACUCCUGCACCCUCCUCACAUGCCUCCAGCCCCAUGCCCUGACUCUUGCACCCCCCACAUUCCCACCCCCACCCUGAACACCAAAGGGAGCUCCUGCACCCACCCCCUCCACAUUCCCACCUGCACCCCUUGCACCAAAUGGGAGCUGCCCAGGUAAGCACUCCACACCCAAACCUCCUGCCCCAAGCCUGAGCCCCCUCCCUCAUUCUAGCUCCUGGCCAGAUCCUACACCCCAAUCCCCAGUCUGCUGCUUCACCCGCAGCCCUGUGCUCAGUGCACUCGCAUCCUCCGCUCAGUGCAGAGAGAGAGGAAGAGAAUGGGCUAGAGCCAGGGAGGAGGUAGGUACCCACUCUAUGUGGGCAGGGCCAGGAUCCCAGAGCGGCAGCGGGCUGAGCAGGGCGGGCAGCCAGGACCCUGGCUGGCAGGAGCCGGCGGAUGGAGCCCCAGACCGGCAGCAGGCUGAGUGGCUCAGCCCACCGCCAGUCUGGGGUCCCAGUCAUUGACCCCGCUCAGCCCACUGCUGGUCUAGGGUCCCGGCCCCACUCAGGCCGCUGCCGGUCUGGGGUUCUGGCUGCCGGCCCCUUGCCAGCCAGGGUCCUGGCCGCAGGCCCCGCUCAGUCCCCUGCCGGCCUAGGUGAACGGAAGCCCAGGCUGGCAGCAGGCUGAGCGGGCUGGCGGCAUAAGAUCAGCAUUUUAAUGUAAUUUUAAAUGAAGCUUCGUAAACAUUUUGAAAACCUUGUUUACAUGCGACAAUAGUUUAGUUAUAUAUAGACUUAUAGAGAAAGACCUUCUAAAAAAAGGUUAAAAUGUAUUCCUGGCACACGAAACCUUAAAUUAAAGUGAAUAAAUGAAGACUCAGCACACCACUUCUGAAAGGUUGCCGACCCCUGAUUUAGACCGUAGAGGGAAUUUGUGUCCAAGCCAGAACCAAAAUGUUACUGGAUGCCAGGCCUGUACCCAGGACCACCAGGCCACACUUCCCUAACAUCUUUUUUCACAACAACCCUUUCAUUGUAAAAGGGUGUCACAAAUGUUCACGUGGUGUGAAAAUACAGCUGGUGUAAAAUACAAAAAUAAAUGUCUCCUGUUACAGGAGAGCCACGGGGAUCUGGUGACCAGAAUGACAGCCGGUGCCUGUCACAAUCAGAUAUCUGCAGUUAAACUUUCCACCCACUGAUUUCUUAAGCUCUGUUUUCUCUUGGGUAUUUGAGGCGAUUCCUGUACAAUACAAGCCUGACAUUGCAGGACAAGUACCAUUCUUGUCAGUUAACACAGGCCCAACUGAAGUCAAAGAACAGGUUAGGCUUGUCAAGCUUAUAAACGCACACUAAACCCAGAGGAAUCAGACAUUCCAGAACGAACCUUAACAUUGGGGAACCUGUUACAAGCAGCCUUCUGGAGAGCAAAAUAUUUCCAUUUCUGAAAGCUGGAUUGUUGGCAGGUCCAAUACACUUCUUUAACCAGACACUCGAUUCUACUGUAUUUGUGGAAUUUCAACAAGUACUGUUGCAACUGGUGGGGUGAAGAGGAAAAGACAGUUACCUUUUCCAUAACUGGUGAUCUUUGAGAUGUGUUGCUCAUGUCUAUUCAACAAUAGGUGUGUGUGCUCGCCACGUGCACCGGUGCCGGAAGUUUUUCCCCUAGCAGUAUCUGUAGGGGAGCGACCCCUGGAGUGGCAACUCCAUGGCAUGGUAUAAGGGAUGUGGCGCGCUCCCCCCACCCUCAGCUCCUUCUUCCCAGACAACUCCGACAGAGGGGAAGGAGGGCGGGGUGUGGAAUGGACAUGAGCAACACAUCUCGAAGAACAUCAGUUACGGAAAAGGAGUACUUGUGGCACCUUAGAGACUAACCAAUUUAUUUGAGCAUAAGCUUUCGUGAGCUACAGCUCACUUCAUCAGAAAAGGUAACUGUCUUUUAUUCUUCGAGUGAUUACUCAUAUGUAUUACUCAUAUGUAGGAAUGUUAUCAGGAGGGCCAAAUCGCACCUGGAGCUGCAGCUAGCCAGAGAUGUCAAGAGUAACAAGAAGGGUUUCUUCAGGUAUGUUAGCAACGAGAAGAAAGCCAAGGAAAGUGUGGGCCCCUUACUGAAUGAGGGAGGCAAACUAGUGACAGAGGAUGUGGAAAAAGCUAAUGUACUCAAUGGUUUUUUUGCCUCUGUUUUCACUAACAAGGUCAGCUCCCAGACUGCUACGCUGGGCAUCACAAAAUGGGGAAGAGAUGGCCAGCCCUCUGUGGAGAUAGAGGUGGUUAGGGACUAUUUAGAAAAGCUGGACGUGCACAAGUCCAUGGGGCCGGACGAGUUGCAUCCGAGAGUGCUGAAGGAAUUGGCGGCUGUGAUUGCAGAGCCAUUGGCCAUUAUCUUUGAAAACUCGUGGCGAACCGGGGAAGUCCCGGAUGACUGGAAAAAGGCUAAUGUAGUGCCAAUCUUUAAAAAAGGGAAGAAGGAGGAUCCUGGGAACUACAGGCCAGUCAGCCUCACUUCAGUCCCUGGAAAAAUCAUGGAGCAGGUCCUCAAAGAAUCAAUCCUGAAGCACUUGCAUGAGAGGAAAGUGAUCAGGAACAGCCAGCAUGGAUUCACCAAGGGAAGGUGAUUCCAAGCUAUAUCUGUUGGAGGUGGGUAGGAGUUCACAGACUCUUGCGAGGGAGCACAGCCCUGCCGAACCCGGUGUCCUCCCUGGUUUGGGAGACAAUCGCAUAAUGAGAGGUGAACAUGUGAAGAGAAGACCAUGUGGCAGCCCUACAAAUGUCCUGAACGGGGACAUGAGCUAAAAAGGCAGCCAACGAGGCUUGCGCCCUUCUCGAGUGUGCCCUCACAAUCAACAGCGUGGGGAUUCCCACCAGGUCAUAACGGGUAUGGAUACAUGAGGUGAUCCAGUUGGAGAGGCACUGAGUGGAGAUCGGCCGACCUCUCUUGCGUUCGCCCGAGGCUAUGAACAGCUGCAAAGACUUCCUGAACAGCUUAGUCCGCUCCAGGUAAAAGGCCAGGGCCCGUCUCACAUCCAGUGUGUGGAGGUGGUGCUCCUCACUGGAUGCGUGGGGCUUGGGACAGAGGACCAGCAGGAAGAUGUCCUGACCCAUUUGAUAGGAGGAGACUACCUUAGGGAGGAAUGAAGGAUGCGGAUGGAGCUGGACUUUAUGGAACACCGUGUACGGGGGCUUGGAGGUCAGGGCUCUGAGCUCCGAAACCCAUCUAGCUGACAUGAUCGCCACCAGGAAGGCUACCUUCCACGAGAGGUGUGACCAGGAGCAUGUAGCUAGCAACUCAAAAGGGGGAACCCAUCAAUCGGGCCAGCACUGAGUUCAGGUCCCACUGAGGGCCUAACAUAUGGGAAGAGAUGAUCCAAUCCCUGAAGGAAUCGGCCAGUCAUAGCAUGGGAGAAUACUAGGUGCCCCUGCACCAGCGGGUGGAAGGCCGAUAUUGCCACCAAGUGCACCUUGAUGGACAAGGGCGCUAGACCUUGAGCUCUAGGAUGAAGGAGGUAGUCUAAAAUGAGUUGGCUCAAAGCAGCCACAGGCGAAAUGCCCUUCUCAGCCACCCACCAGGAAAACCGAGACCACUUCGCCAAGUAGGCCCGACACGUGUAGGGCCACCUGCUUUCCAGAGGGACAUGCUGAACCCCUUCCGAGCACGUCCUUUCCUCCCGGCCUACCCAUUGAGCAGCCACACUGUGAGGUGGAGUGCCACUAGGUUGAGAUGGAGAAGGCGGCCCUGGUCCUGAGAGAUUAGGUCCAGGCGGGAUGGCAGUGGCCAUGGCGGGAUGACUGCCAGGCUGAUGGGGGUCCCGUAACAAUGUUGCCUGGGCCACGCCAGGGCAAUCAGGAGGACCUGUCUGUUUUUAUCUUUUCCAGGACCUUGCCGAUCGGCGGGAUCGGGGGGAAGGCAUAGAGGAGCUGGACCGACCAGGAUAGGAGGAAGACAUCGGAGAUGGCGCCCACUCCCAGCCCUCCCCUGGUGCAGAAACAGGGACACAGGUGGUUCUGCCAAGUCGUGAACAGCUCCACCUGGGGAGUACCCCACUCUUGGAAAAUCCUGUCCACCACCUCUGGGUGUAGUGACCACUCAUGCUGAGAGGACAAAUCUCAGCUCAGGCGAUCCACCCACGAGUUCCGGGCACCCGGCCCAGGGUGGCACACGUGGCCAGGAGGAGCUCCACAUGAUCCCGCACCUGCGACCUGGAGUUGCCUUGGGACCAGUCAGUUGUCCAGGUAGGGGAAGAUCUGGACCCCAUGAUGUCUGAGGUAGACCGCCACCACAGACGUGCACUUUGUGAACACCCUGGGAGCAGUGGACAGGCCAAACAGGAGGACCAUAAAUUGGUAAUGCUCCUGCCCCACCGUGAAACGGAGGAAGCAUCUGUGCCCCUCGAAUAUAUGAAUGUGGAAGUACGCGUCCUGCAGAUCGAGGGCGCUGUACCAGUCCCAGGGAUCCAGGGAGGGGAUGAUGGAGACCAGGAAGACCAUGCAGAACUUGAGCUUCACCACGUACUGGUUCAGGCCUCGCAGGACCAGGAUGGGCCUGAGCCCCCCUUUGGCCUUCGGGAUAAGGAAGUAGCGGGAGUAGAACCCCUUGCCCAUGAACUCCGCUGGCACCGCUCCCAAGCCAAGGAGCUGCUCCACCUCCUGCUCGAGAAGGGCCUCAUGAGAGGGGUCCCCCAGGAGGGAUGGGGAGGAGGGUGGUUGGGUGGGGUAGAGGUAAACUGAAGGAGACGGUGUUGAGGACCCAACAGUUCGAAGUCAGCCGCGACCACUCUAAGAGAAAAGCACACAACCAGCUGGAGAAGGGAAACUUGAUUGCAGGUGGAUCCCUGGUAUGAACUGGUAAGUUGCCCCCAAGCGUCCCGUCAAAACUGACGUUUCCCUGCCUGUUUACCCUUGGAGGGGCCAGGCUGGGGGGCAGACUGGGACUGCCUCUGCAGGCGUUUCUUAUAGUCCCGAGACUUUUUAUAGAGGGGCUCGUAUUUAGAGUGGGUGGCCUGGGUGGGAGCCUGCUGCAGCUUAAACUUGGUCCUGGCCAGAGCCGGGACAUAGAGGCCAAGUGUCUUAAGCAUCGUCCGGGAAUCUUUCAGUCCGUGCAAUUUCACGUCCGUGUGUUCCACAGGCAGGGGCUUGCCAUUAAACGGAAGGUCCUGUAAGGAGUUCUGCCCCUCACUGCACAGCCCGACAGCAGGAGCCACAACGCCCUCCUCAUGGGCACCGCAGAGGCCAUAGACCUUGCAGCCGUAUCCGCGGCAUCCAGUGCUGCCUCCAGGGUUGCCCUGGCAGCCACUGUACCCUCCUCCACCAGAGCUUUGAACUCCUUCUUGUCACGCUCCUGGAAGGAGUCCUCAAAUUUGGAUAGAGAGCCCCACAAAUUGAACUCAUAAAGACCCAGAAGAGCCUGAUGGUUUGUCACAACUGGAAGCUCGAGGACGAACAAACCUUUCUCCCAAACAAGUCCAGCCUCCUUGAGCCUUUAUUUUUCAGGGUAGGGGCUGGUUGGCCCUGCCUCUCCCUGUGGUUGACUGACUUGACCACCAGGGAAUUAGGGGCAGGGUGGGUGUACGGGUAUUCAUGCCCCUUGGCGGGCACAAAGUACUUCCAUUCUGCCCUCUUAGAGAUGGGGGGCAAGGAAGCCGGGGUUUGCCACUAGGCGUUUGAAAUUUUUGCCACCCCUUCGUGGAGUGGGAGGGCCACCCUGCCCGAUGCCGAGGCCGAGAGGACAUUGAAUAGGGAGUCCGAGGGUUCCUCCUCCUCCUCAGCCUGAAGGUUGAGGCUCGAUGCCACCCUUUUCAGUAGUUCCUGGUGGGCCUUGGAGUCCUCGCGUGGAAUGGAGGGGGGAGGGGCCAUAAUCGCCUCAUCAGGGGAGGAUGAGGAUGCGGGUGCGGUACUCUCCGUACCCACCAGCACUGGAGGUUCCACCGCUUGGUCGCCCUCCGGGCACGGAUCCGAAGAUGCACGCCCCACCGACUCCUUCCUGGGAGGCUGGGAAAGGGAGGCCGACGGUCUUUCCGAGGCUCCGGCUACUGAGCGAGCCCCGCCGGGGGCUGCGCCGGGGGCCACGGGGCCCAUUGGUGCCACGGUGCUGGCCCGGAGCUCAGUGCCCCUGCACCUGCUGCGGCAGCGGUGGGGCCGCCUGUGUAGCCUGCCCAGCCUGCCCGUCGUCUGAAGACUAUGAAGGGAGGCUGGGCUGGGGAACGCCUGCCGCUGUCCGUGGACUGGGAGGAGAGGUGGCCUCGGGGACGGUGCUGAGCACAAGACCAUGAUCCCGACGUGGAGGAACGGUGCCACCGAUGGCAGCUGCUCUGCAAUUGGCUCCGGCAGGCGGAUCCGCGACAGCGAGGAGCCAGCGAUCGACGCCGGGACAGUGGGAGCGGCGCAGCUGCGGGGUCCUGGAGCGAGACGAAGAACGGGAAUGGCAUUGACUCCCGUAUCGCGACGGGCUACAGUAGCCUCUUGGAGACGAGGACCUCCGGUGCCGUCUGUCUUGGUCUCAACGGGGCCUGGAGCUCCUGUCAGUCGGAACCCAGCCAGACAGCCUGGUGGGGGUCGACAGGGCCCGGCGCGGACUGUGCACGGUGCGGUUGCUGAGCAGCGAACGGCGUCGGGAACCUUCCGUCGACCGCGAACGGUACCAUCCAGGCGGCGACUGUGGGGGUCCAAGCGGUGGCCUGCCUCUGGACCGGGGAGCUGACGACGGUGGUGGUACUGGUACCAGCAGAGACAGAACAUCCCAGGCCGCUUGCAGCGCCUGGGUGCGUGAAGGGCGCCCAGACAUCUGGGGAGGCCUGCGCCGAGUGGGCUGGGCUACUCUGCUCAACUCGAGUCGGAGGCCUGGAGGCCGACAGGGACCGAGAACUGCCCAGCAUGGGUCUAGUCUCUCCCCCGGUCUUGCUCCGGUCUCUCGGUGGAAAAGUCCUCUUCUUAGCCUUCUUGGCGUGCCCUGCGGAUGGGGAGAGGUGCCAACUGGUGGAAGGCACUGAAGGGUUGCCACGCACCAACACCGGCACACCAGAGCGGCGCACCGGAGUCGGGGUCAACACUGACUCCAUCAGAAUGGCUCAGAGCCAAAUUUCCCUUUCCUUUUUGGUCCAAGGCUUGAAAGAUCUGCAAAUCUCGCACCGACCGCUGAGGUGGGUUUCCCCCAGACAGCGUAAACAGUCUGCAUGCGGGUCACUCACUGGCAUCGGCCACCUGCAAGUGUCUCAUGACUUAAAGCCCGGGGCAUGGGGCAUGCCCCGACCCGGGUACACUACAAUAAACUAACCCUAAUCUAAACUACUUUAACUAAAGGUACUACUAACUAUGAACGAACAGGAGUUCAAGAGGAAAGCUGCAGAUGAGCUGGAGCAGAGCAGUUCCAAUGCACCUUCACUGGCGGCAGGAAGGAGCUGAGGGUGGGGGGGGUGUGCAGGGUCCCUGAUACCGCGCCUAGAGGCGCCACUCCAGGGGUCGCUAGGGCCGCUCCCCUGUGGGUCCUGCUCAGGGGAAAAUCUGGCGGCAGUGCACGUGGCGAGCACGCACACCUACUGCGGACUGCACAUAAGCAAUCGUUGGAAGAAGAAGAGAGAUCUGAGGGUGAUGACUGGGUGCUGGUGGAUGCUGCAGAUAAAAACGUUCGGUUGCUGUUGGCAUUCACAGAACAUCUCCAUGGGGUUUGGCGCUUCUGGGGUGGAGAAAAGAGCACUGACUGGUGGGGCUGCAUCGUAAUGCAGGUUUGGGAUGAUGAGCAGUGGCUGCAGAACUUUCGCAUGCACAAGGCCAUAUUCCUGGAUCUGUGUGCCGAGCUCAUCCCAGCGCAUGAACACCAAAAGAGAGCUGCAUGGACAGUGGAGAAGCAAGUGGCGAUCACACCUUGGAAGCUUGCGACACCAGAUUGCUAAGAGUCAGUGAGCAGUCAGUCCAGAAAAUCCACAGUGAGGGCCAGUCUCAUCCAAGUGUGCAAUGCCAUUAAGCAUCUCCUUCUCCACAGUACACAACAGCUGUUAGAAAAGCCAACCGUGGAGCUGUACAGCUAAGGAAGGCCUAAAAAGAGCAUUUAACAGUCAGCUAUAGUAGUGUUGUGUGAUACUUUUAUGAAUUAGUGAGCCUGGUGUGUAAAGAUCUUAAAUAUGUCAAGGUUACUGACUCCCAUAAUCAACUUUGUAAUGUCUCAUUUAUGCUUAGUAUAAACUAAUAAAUAUUCUCAGAGUUUCCAAAAAUAUAAUUUUAUUGUGUGCAAAGAGACAGGAAACAAAGUGCAAAUAUACAAGUUAAAAACAGUUUAGCAGCACUGUAAAAAUAUGACUAAGGCUACAAUUUUAUCAUGGAGGUCGCAGAAGUCACAGACUUCGGAAGACCUCCAUGACUUUACCUGCUGGAAGCUACAAGGUACCCCUGCCACCCAAGGCAGUGGGGCGGACCCGGAAGCUCCCAGCCACUGUAGGCAGCAGGAGGGACCCCGCAGCUUCUUGCCGCUGCGGGUGCCAGAGGGCUCUGAGCAGCCAGGGGCAAGGGGGAACUCUACAACU
This is a non-coding RNA of Caretta caretta (loggerhead turtle), 9099 nucleotides long. NCBI's taxonomy places the organism in Eukaryota, Metazoa, Chordata, Testudines, Cheloniidae. The record is from RefSeq and is a predicted model, not a curated record.